GGCAACUUGGCCGAGCGGUCUAAGGCGGUAGACUCAAGUUCUACUCUCGAAAGAGGCGUGAGUUCGAAUCUCACAGUUGUCA
Molecule: transfer RNA, 82 nt
Filed under: Podospora anserina S mat+
Lineage: Eukaryota; Fungi; Ascomycota; Sordariomycetes; Sordariales; Podosporaceae
Description: tRNA-Leu (CAA) (tRNA-Leu-CAA-2-1)
Rfam family: tRNA
About the family: Transfer RNA (tRNA) molecules are approximately 80 nucleotides in length. Their secondary structure includes four short double-helical elements and three loops (D, anti-codon, and T loops).
Source: RNAcentral